RNAcentral lists this ribosomal RNA (300 nucleotides) under uncultured bacterium. RNAcentral's name for it is "bacterial SSU rRNA". It matches the Rfam family "Bacterial small subunit ribosomal RNA", at positions 775 to 1067 of the family's 1533-position model. The record is from RNAcentral.
GGAUUAGAUACCCUGGUAGUCCACGCCCUAAACGAUGUGCACUAGAUCGAGGAGGCUCUGACGUCAUCUCGGUCGAAGCAAAAGUAUUAAGUGCACCGCCUGGGGAGUACGGUCGCAAGGCUAAAACUCAAAGGAAUUGACGGGGACUCACACAAGCGGUGGAGCAUGUGGCUUAAUUCGAAGCAACGCGAAGAACCUUAUCCUGGGUUUGACAUGCAUGGAUUAACUUCUGGAAACAGAAGCCACGCCUUUUAGGUGGAACAUGCACAGGUGCUGCAUGGCUGUCGUCAGCUCGUGCCG